UACGUAGGGUGCAAGCGUUGUCCGGAAUUAUUGGGCGUAAAGAGCUCGUAGGCGGUCUGUUGCGUCCGCUGUGAAAACUCGGGGCUUAACCCCGAGCCUGCAGUGGAUACGGGCAGACUAGAGGUAGGUAGGGGAGAAUGGAAUUCCCGGUGUAGCGGUGAAAUGCGCAGAUAUCGGGAGGAACACCGGUGGCGAAGGCGGUUCUCUGGGCCUUACCUGACGCUGAGGAGCGAAAGCUAGGGGAGCAAACAGG
This 253-nucleotide ribosomal RNA is filed under the name uncultured bacterium. RNAcentral describes it as "partial 16S ribosomal RNA". It matches the Rfam family "Bacterial small subunit ribosomal RNA", at positions 524 to 776 of the family's 1533-position model. The record is from RNAcentral.